RNAcentral lists this ribosomal RNA (497 nucleotides) under uncultured bacterium. RNAcentral's name for it is "partial 16S ribosomal RNA". It matches the Rfam family "Bacterial small subunit ribosomal RNA", at positions 28 to 507 of the family's 1533-position model. The record is from RNAcentral.
GAUGAACGCUGGCGGCGUGCCUAAUACAUGCAAGUCGAGCGAACGGACGAGAAGCUUGCUUCUCUGAUGUUAGCGGCGGACGGGUGAGUAACACGUGGAUAACCAACCUAUAAGACUGGGAUAACUUCGGGAAACCGGAUCUAAUACCGGAUAAUAUUUUGAACCGCAUGGUUCAAAAGUGAAAGACGGUCUUGCUGUCACUUAUAGAUGGAUCCGCGCUGCAUUAGCUAGUUGGUAAGGUAACGGCUUACCAAGGCAACGAUGCAUAGCCGACCUGAGAGGGUGACCGGCCACACUGGAACUGAGACACGGUCCAGACUCCUACGGGAGGCAGCAGUAGGGAAUUUUGCGCAAUGGGCGAAAGCCUGACGGAGCAAAGCCGCGUGAGUGAUGAAGGUCUUCGGAUUGUAAAACUCUGUUAUAAGGGAAGAACAUAUGUGUAAGUAUCUGUGCACAUAUUGACGGUACCUAAUCAGAAAGCAACGGCUAACUACGUG